GCCCCCCCCCCCCAGAAGUCUGCCAACGCCACCCUGUCAAUACAAACGCCUCCGUGGCUCGACAGGUGGCUCGACACUGCGCCGCUGCGACGCGCAGCCGGCUCCCGGAAUCCAGAAGUGUCGCGAAAGGCUUUGUGAGAGAGAGAGAGUCAGUCCAGUCAUGCGCCCAUUGUUCAGGCAAUGUGAACCUGGCUAUCUUACCAUCCAGGUUUGGGCCCUGGAUAUCUAAAGGACCACCUGCUCCCAAGGGUUUCUGCCCACUUGACAAGAUCAUCGGGGGUGUGUGUGUGUGUCUCUAUUCUGCAUGCUGACAACGAGAGGCUCGACUGUUGAGCAUGUGGGCCAGGGCCUUCUCAGUCAUAGCCCCCAGGCUUUGGCAUGCUCUCCCAGCUGGCAUCUGCUCCUCAGCCUCCAACACAGUUUUUACAAAAUGUUAAAACAUUAAAACUAUCAAAACAUUUAAAAAGUGUUACUGUUUUAUAUAGGUUUUAAAACAUUUAAAUAGAAAUAUUUUAUAUUUUAUAUUUUUAUUUAAUAACUGGACUUGUAUUUUAAAAGUGCAUUGUUUUAAUUAUAUUGUAAACUGCUUUGGGAUUAUCUUAAUGAAAAGCAGUAUAGAAAUAAAUCAAUCAUUCAAUACA
This is a long non-coding RNA of Hemicordylus capensis (graceful crag lizard), 641 nucleotides long. RefSeq lists it as uncharacterized. The record is from RefSeq and is a predicted model, not a curated record. The transcript has 2 exons. NCBI's taxonomy places the organism in Eukaryota, Metazoa, Chordata, Lepidosauria, Squamata, Cordylidae.